Drosophila yakuba is the source of this 691-nucleotide long non-coding RNA. RefSeq lists it as uncharacterized. The record is from RefSeq and is a predicted model, not a curated record. The transcript is spliced from 2 exons. NCBI's taxonomy places the organism in Eukaryota, Metazoa, Arthropoda, Insecta, Diptera, Drosophilidae.
UGUAUAAGCGGCGCACAAAGACUAAACAAAAGCGUGGAACUAAAGCCGCCGGAUUGGCAAUCGAAAAAGUGCCCGUAAUGGCCAAAGAAAAGGGCAAUCGCUCUCAUAAAGAUAGCACUUAUCAGUGAUAACAACACUUUCAACCAUUAUCAUAACUUACUUAAAUCACCGAGAGCCCGACGACGCUUCCAAUAUAGUGCAACCAGGCCGAUCAACACCAAGAUGAGUAUUUUGAAGGUCAUUCGCAAGACGGAUAUGAAUACAAUUGAGUGUGCAGGCGAUUCCAGCAACAAACUGUACUGCGUUUCGUUGUUCAUUUCGAAAAUAUAUUUACUAAUUGUUCAAAUAUUGAAAGUCUUCCAGGUCUCGAGCAAGAGUCAAGGCAUAUAUCACAGCAAGGACAACCAAAACCGUGAGGAUACCCGCCUCGAAUGCCAGAAAUGUCCAGUUUAUGUGGAGCCGCUGGGAAAUGUCCUCAAACACAUCCAAUAUGGUGGCAUUCAUCGUGAGGACCUGCGACCUAACUAAAUGGAUUUCAUAAUCAUUUGCUGAAUUACCCAGCAUUUCGAUAUCCAUGCGUAAACGUACCAUUUAGCAGCACAUUUGGAAUUGGGAUCCGAAACAGAAGGGAAUCACUGCCGCUGUUAUCAGCAUAUCAGUAUAUAUUGCACAAAUAUAAUAAUAACACAUA